This is a long non-coding RNA of Ornithodoros turicata, 160 nucleotides long. RefSeq lists it as uncharacterized. The record is from RefSeq and is a predicted model, not a curated record. Lineage: Eukaryota; Metazoa; Arthropoda; Arachnida; Ixodida; Argasidae. The transcript has 3 exons.
AUCAGCUUCAGCAUGUGGCAAGCAUCGAGGAUUACAUGAACUCUCCAGGAAGAAUCAGAAGGGUGCUGAAACCAUGGCCUGAUGUCGGGGCUUUUCAUGUUUGCACCAAGGUCUUGAAACAUGGCUGUUGAUCAGAAAGUAUGCACAUGGCACUUUCCAG